RNAcentral lists this transfer RNA (74 nucleotides) under Arthrobacter phage Atuin. Its description in RNAcentral is "tRNA-Thr". It matches the Rfam family "tRNA". Rfam says of the family: Transfer RNA (tRNA) molecules are approximately 80 nucleotides in length. Their secondary structure includes four short double-helical elements and three loops (D, anti-codon, and T loops). Lineage: Duplodnaviria; Heunggongvirae; Uroviricota; Caudoviricetes. The record is from RNAcentral. RNAcentral also lists the same sequence under 1 other name.
GCUUCCUUAGCUCAGAGGCCAGAGCAUCGCUCUUGUAAAGCGAGGGUCAUCGGUUCGACUCCGAUAGGAAGCUC